Molecule: ribosomal RNA, 466 nt
Filed under: uncultured bacterium
Lineage: Bacteria
Description: bacterial SSU rRNA
Rfam family: Bacterial small subunit ribosomal RNA
Source: RNAcentral
UACGGGAGGCAGCAGUGGGGAAUCUUAGACAAUGGGCGCAAGCCUGAUCUAGCCAUGCCGCGUGAGUGAUGAAGGCCUUAGGGUCGUAAAGCUCUUUCGCCAGGGAUGAUAAUGACAGUACCUGGUAAAGAAACCCCGGCUAACUCCGUGCCAGCAGCCGCGGUAAUACGGAGGGGGUUAGCGUUGUUCGGAAUUACUGGGCGUAAAGCGCACGUAGGCGGAUUAUUAAGUGAGGGGUGAAAUCCCGGGGCUCAACCCUGGAACUGCCUCUCAUACUGGUAGUCUUGAGUUCGAGAGAGGUGAGUGGAAUUCCGAGUGUAGAGGUGAAAUUCGUAGAUAUUCGGAGGAACACCAGUGGCGAAGGCGGCUCACUGGCUCGAUACUGACGCUGAGGUGCGAAAGUGUGGGGAGCAAACAGGAUUAGAUACCCUGGUAGUCCACACCGUAAACGAUGAAUGCCAGUCGU